AAGAGACGUUGCCCUUCGGGGUAUACCUCCCAUCCUUUGUUUAUUAUACCUUUGUUGCUUUGGCGGGCCCGUCCUCGGACCACCGGCUUCUGCUGGUCAGUGCCCGCCAGAGGACCUAAAACUCUGUUUGUUAAUAUUGUCUGAGUACUAUAUAAUAGUUA
Molecule: unclassified non-coding RNA, 161 nt
Filed under: soil metagenome
Description: partial internal transcribed spacer 1
Source: RNAcentral